Molecule: ribosomal RNA, 491 nt
Filed under: uncultured bacterium
Lineage: Bacteria
Description: partial 16S ribosomal RNA
Rfam family: Bacterial small subunit ribosomal RNA
Source: RNAcentral
GAUGAACGCUGGCUACAGGCUUAACACAUGCAAGUCGAGGGGAAACGCCGGGGAAGCUUGCUUCCCCGGGCGUCGACCGGCGCACGGGUGAGUAACGCGUAUCCAACCUGCCUCUGACUGAGGGAUAACCCGUCGAAAGUCGGCCUAAUACCUCAUGGCAUCGUCUGCGGGCAUCCAACGACGAUUAAAGAUUUCAUCGGUCAGGGACGGGGAUGCGUCUGAUUAGCUUGGUGGCGGGGUACCGGCCCAUCAAGGCGACGGUCAGUAGGGGUUCUGAGGGGAAGGGCCCCCACAGGGGAACGGGGACACGGUCCAAACGCGUACGGGAGGCAGCAGUGAGGAAUAGUGGUCGAUGGGCGGGAGCCUGAACCAGCCAAGUAGCGUGCAGGAUGACGGCCCUAUGGGUUGUAAACUGCUGUUAUGCGGGGAUAAAGUGAGGGACGUGUCCUUCAUUGCAGGUACCGCAUGAAUAAGGACCGGCUAAUUCCGUG